This 876-nucleotide ribosomal RNA is filed under the name uncultured Nitrososphaerota archaeon. RNAcentral describes it as "bacterial SSU rRNA". It matches the Rfam family "Archaeal small subunit ribosomal RNA", at positions 21 to 903 of the family's 1478-position model. Lineage: Archaea; Thermoproteati; Nitrososphaerota. The record is from RNAcentral.
ACCUGACUGCUAUCGGAUUGAUACUAAGCCAUGCGAGUCAUUGUAGCAAUACAAGGCAGACGGCUCAGUAACGCGUAGUCAACCUAACCUAUGGACGGGAAUAACCUCGGGAAACUGAGAAUAAUACCCGAUAGAACACUAUGUCUGGAAUGAUUUGUGUUCCAAAUGAUUUAUCGCCGUAGGAUGGGACUGCGGCCUAUCAGUUUGUUGGUGAGGUAAUGGCCCACCAAGACUAUUACAGGUACGGGCUCUGAGAGGAGUAGCCCGGAGAUGGGUACUGAGACACGGACCCAGGCCCUAUGGGGCGCAGCAGGCGAGAAAACUUUGCAAUGUGCGAAAGCACGACAAGGUUAAUCCGAGUGGUUUGUGCUAAACAGACCUUUUGUUAGUCCUAGAAACACUAACGAAUAAGGGGUGGGCAAGUUCUGGUGUCAGCCGCCGCGGUAAAACCAGCACCUCAAGUGGUCAGGAUGAUUAUUGGGCCUAAAGCAUCCGUAGCCGGCUCUGUAAGUUUUCGGUUAAAUCUGUAUGCUCAACAUACAGGCUGCCGGGAAUACUGCAGAGCUAGGGAGUGGGAGAGGUAGACGGUACUCGGUAGGAAGGGGUAAAAUCCUUUGAUCUAUUGAUGACCACCUGUGGCGAAGGCGGUCUACCAGAACACGUCCGACGGUGAGGGAUGAAAGCUGGGGGAGCAAACCGGAUUAGAUACCCGGGUAGUCCCAGCUGUAAACUAUGCAAACUCAGUGAUGCAUUGGCUUGUGGCCAAUGCAGUGCUGCAGGGAAGCCGUUAAGUUUGCCGCCUGGGAAGUACGUACGCAAGUAUGAAACUUAAAGGAAUUGGCGGGGGAGCACCACAAGGGGUGAAGCCUGCGGUUC